Molecule: ribosomal RNA, 253 nt
Filed under: uncultured bacterium
Lineage: Bacteria
Description: partial 16S ribosomal RNA
Rfam family: Bacterial small subunit ribosomal RNA
Source: RNAcentral
GACAGAGGUGCCAAGCGUUAGGCGGAAUCACUGGGCUUAAAGCGUGUGUAGGCGGGUCGUUAAGUGUCUUGUGAAAUCCCCCGGCUCAACCGGGGAAUGGCUGGGCAUACUGGCGAUCUUGAGCAGUCUAGGGGCAGAUGGAGCAGACGGUGGAGCGGUGAAAUGCGUAGAUAUCGUCUGGAACGCCAAAGGUGAAGACAGUCUGCUGGGGACUUGCUGACGCUGAGACGCGAAAGCCAGGGGAGCGAACGGG